AUGUCUGAGAUUUCAGACAGUCAGCUAGCUUCAUGUGGCCAGAGUUCCUGUGAGCAAAACUGCACGCGUUGCACUAGGAGUGACUUUCAGGUGUUUAGACAGGCAAGUCUGGCUUGCUGCUACAAUGUUAUUUUAAAUUUUGGAAUGCUCGUUCCUCUCCGCAGUGCUUUUUUUUCCUCCGAAAAUUGGCCUUUUUUUGGGUAGAGGACAUUGAAUGAUAACACUACAAGUCAGCUGACUGCUGUGUCACAGAGCUGCUGCUUUCUACAUUUCCACAACUGCAAGAGCUCUUUCUACUGCAGUUUUCUGGUCGCAGUGCGGCAAUACAGACGCAUAGGGCGUGAUUCCGAACAUCUUUUUUUUCUCGGGAAUUUACCUUUAUGCCUAUUUCGGAUACAAAAAGGAUUGGUCUUUUUUUUGGAUAAGAGCUGGAAAGUAUCUUGGAUAUAGACGGUGACAUCAAACUUGCAACGUUUUUCAAUUAAACAAGCACUGCUCAAAGGCUGGAAUCCAAAAUGCUUCGAAAGAACGAAGAAACAUCUGCCUUCUCACCUGAUAUAAUAGUUUUUUGUGCCUCGCUAGCCUACCUGCAAAGAACAGGAACCUUAAGACAAAGGAUCCGAUGCUUCCUGGUAUCUAGAUCUGGGGCCUUUGCAGCCAAUGUACAGCUGAAUCUUUCUUAAACAUCAUGGGUUACAUGUAAAGCUGGCAAAAUAGUAGGAGGCAAUUUAUAUUUCACAUGAGGAAGAAACCGGCUUAAAAGAGUAGCCAGACUGGCUGACCUAAAUGAAUCCCAAUCCUUCUCUGGAUACAGGGCAGCAGCCGUCUAGCAGUGACACAACCAGCCAUCAUGUGGAGAAUUUCUAGGAUUGCAAUGUCUGUUGAAUGGAGCAUCACCGUAUGAAACACACUAUUUUUGCUUCUUGUUUUAUUGCUUUUCUUUUGGAUUUACCUGCAACAGCUGCCGGCUUAUUGUGUUUUCUUCAUUUUCAGCAAUGAGUCGUCUGGUCUAAGUGCAUGUGCUUGUGGAUUAGUCUGUCUGUAAUGCAGUCCUUAUCUGCUCCUGCUGGAAAUCAGGGCACUAAGUCAGCCUGCUUUAACAGUUGUUUUGCGUGAUGCUAUGCAGCUAGGAUGCCUCGCUGACAACAAAGGAGAAAGCACAAAGCAUCACUUUAUCUUCUGGGUUGUUACAGGGGAACAACUCCUCUUCUGUGUGAUGCCUCAUCCUAUUCCUUCAUUUCCUUCUUUUGUUUCUAAUUCAUCUAAUCGAAGAGCCUAACAGAAAUCAUCAUGGAUGUGUGUGGGUUUUCUUUUUGAUGGUUUGGAAAAAUACAGCCUAUGAAGACUACAGCACAUUUUAGGUUAUUGCCAAUUUGAAAUACUUGGUUUGCUGAAGCUGAGCCCUAAGGGACAAGCUCAGUAGCUGAAAAAGAGAUCGUAGAUAAAGAAAUAAAAAUGACAAGCAUAAUGGAGGCUCUGGAAAAGACACUGUCAGAGAAUCAGUUCAUGGGUAGCAGUUUCUUCAGUAUGAAUCUGAAUAAUUCAUAGAUUGAAAUUACCCUGCUUUCACCUUUCUAUUUAAAGCGACAUGAUCUGAAUCUCUAAUAAAUUUUCAGGAUAAAGUAAAAUGGCAAUUUGAAUGUGAAGUGCUUUUGAAAGCAGAUGCUGAAUCCUGAAUCUUUCGAUAUCUUUCACAAUUAUGCGGUGAGAACUCCCCUUCAUCAUUGAGCAGCUUUACCAAGGAAAAUUACUGUGAUUACAAAAGCUACAAUAGAAUGCCAUCAAAUGAUCUCUAAUUUGCCUAAUUUCGGAAGACUGACAGUCGCUCGUGCAUGGCUAUUGCAACACCUAUUCUGGCAACCCUGGAUCAAUACUCUCUUUAAACAAAAAUGUUUUCCUUUCUGUAUUUUCUUUGCUGAAACAAAAAAAAAACAAUUGGCUGUGAUUAAGACAUAGCAUAAAUCUGUCGUUAACUUUCUUUGUUUACACUCACUGCAUCAUAAUUGUAUCACUUCACACUUUCCUAAGCUCUCAGUUGCUGUACAGGUGAAUGUCGUUUCUAUUAUGCCGGCCCACACAAUGGCCACUGUAUGCUCUGUACGUAUGGUUAAACUCUGUGUUCAAUGUGAGCUACACGCUUUCAUUUGUCUCUUUAUGGAGUAACUUUCUGUAAGUGGCUGUAGAUAUUAUUCCUUUGAAGCACCUGCUGCUGAAAAGAUGCAUAUGAAGCCCGUCAAGCCAUACAACUCUACAACUUCAAUAUAUUCCUUUCACAAAGAGCCAGACACAAAGCCUUUGGAGCAGCUCAUAUCCUAGCAAUGCUCCUGACUCCUAAACAAAGUACAGGAAUGGAGAGGAACUAAAGCAUUCUCAUCGAUCUCUGGAUAAUCUCAUCUUUAUUUAGUCCAGCUGCAUUCCCUUGCCCCUAGGCUUUUGUUGGGUUAUUUAUGAUUGCUAGUAGGUAAUAUUAAAGUGUGCAGAGUUUUGUAACAGGGAAAUGUUGUAACAAUAAAAAAAUAAACUCAAACCCUA
Hyla sarda is the source of this 2532-nucleotide long non-coding RNA. RefSeq lists it as uncharacterized. Lineage: Eukaryota; Metazoa; Chordata; Amphibia; Anura; Hylidae. The transcript is spliced from 2 exons. The record is from RefSeq and is a predicted model, not a curated record.